CUACGGGCGGCAGCAGUGGGGAAUAUUGGGCAAUGGGCGCAAGCCUGACCCAGCAACGCCGCGUGAGGGAAGAAUGUCUUCGGAUUGUAAACCUCUGUCCUUGGGGACGAAAAAAAUGACGGUACCCAAGGAGGAAGCUCCGGCUAACUACGUGCCAGCAGCCGCGGUAAUACGUAGGGAGCAAGCGUUGUCCGGAAUUAUUGGGCGUAAAGGGUGCGUAGGCGGCGCUGUAAGUCAGAUGUGAAAUCCCCGGGCUUAACUCGGGAGUUGCAUUUGAAACUACAGUGCUUGAGUAAAGAAGGGGUAAGUGGAAUGCCUAGUGUAGCGGUGGAAUGCGUAGAUAUUAGGAGGAACACCAGUGGCGAAGGCGACUUACUGGUCUUUUACUGACGCUGAGGCACGAAAGCGUGGGGAGCAAACAGGAUUAGAUACCCGCGUAGUC
Molecule: ribosomal RNA, 442 nt
Filed under: uncultured bacterium
Lineage: Bacteria
Description: partial 16S ribosomal RNA
Rfam family: Bacterial small subunit ribosomal RNA
Source: RNAcentral